CGUGGAUUAUAUGACUGACGGAAUCGUGGAUCUAACCACAUGGAGUAUAAUCGUUACCACAAGCCGACCGUCUGGGCAGAAAAA
This 84-nucleotide non-coding RNA is filed under the name Bacillota bacterium. RNAcentral describes it as "Firmicutes bacterium ZTP sequence". It matches the Rfam family "ZMP/ZTP riboswitch aptamer (pfl RNA motif)". From Rfam's summary of the family: Previously known as pfl RNA. ZMP is also known as AICAR. The record is from RNAcentral. Lineage: Bacteria; Bacillati; Bacillota.